This 154-nucleotide ribosomal RNA is filed under the name Callogorgia formosa. RNAcentral's name for it is "partial 16S ribosomal RNA". Lineage: Eukaryota; Metazoa; Cnidaria; Anthozoa; Scleralcyonacea; Primnoidae. The record is from RNAcentral.
UUUCUAUCUACAAUGUUUAAUCCAAACUUUUCUGAGUCCUAGUACGCAAGGAAUGGUCUCAGCGAUGCUCGACUAUAUUGAUUGGCCCCAUCGACGUAAUCAACUUCUUGCUGCUGCAAAGAAGGAGAACAAAGGGUUUCGGGAUUAAUAAGGU